UUUAUGGAGAGUUUGAUCCUGGCUCAGGAUGAACGCUGGCGGCGUGCCUAAUACAUGCAAGUCGAGCGAACAGAUAAGGAGCUUGCUCCUUUGACGUUAGCGGCGGACGGGUGAGUAACACGUGGGUAACCUACCUAUAAGACUGGAAUAACUCCGGGAAACCGGGGCUAAUGCCGGAUAACAUGUUGAACCGCAUGGUUCUACAGUGAAAGAUGGUCUUGCUGUCACUUAUAGAUGGACCCGCGCCGUAUUAGCUAGUUGGUGGGGUAACGGCCUACCAAGGCGACGAUACGUAGCCGACCUGAGAGGGUGAUCGGCCACACUGGAACUGAGACACGGUCCAGACUCCUACGGGAGGCAGCAGUAGGGAAUCUUCCGCAAUGGGCGAAAGCCUGACGGAGCAACGCCGCGUGAGUGAUGAAGGUCUUCGGAUCGUAAAGCUCUGUUGUUAGGGAAGAACAAAUGUGUAAGUAACUGUGCACAUCUUGACGGUACCUAACCAGAAAGCCACGGCUAACUACGUGCCAGCAGCCGCGGUAAUACGUAGGUGGCAAGCGUUAUCCGGAAUUAUUGGGCGUAAAGCGCGCGUAGG
RNAcentral lists this ribosomal RNA (592 nucleotides) under Staphylococcus pseudintermedius. RNAcentral's name for it is "bacterial SSU rRNA". It matches the Rfam family "Bacterial small subunit ribosomal RNA", at positions 1 to 575 of the family's 1533-position model. The record is from RNAcentral. Lineage: Bacteria; Bacillati; Bacillota; Bacilli; Caryophanales; Staphylococcaceae.